RNAcentral lists this ribosomal RNA (954 nucleotides) under uncultured bacterium. RNAcentral describes it as "bacterial SSU rRNA". It matches the Rfam family "Bacterial small subunit ribosomal RNA", at positions 503 to 1460 of the family's 1533-position model. The record is from RNAcentral.
CCGUGCCAGCAGCCGCGGUAAUACGGAGGAUUCCAAGCGUUAUCCGGAUUUUAUUGGGUUUUAAAAGGGUGCGUAGGCGGACCCAUAAGUCAGUGGUGAAAGUUUGCAGCUUAACUGUAAAAUUUGCCGUUGAAACUGUGGGUCUUGAGUGUAAAUAAAAGUAGGCGGAAUGUGUUGUGUAGCGGUGAAAUGCUCAGAUAUAACACAGAACACCAAUUGCGAAGGCAGCUUACUGGGAUACAACUGACGCUGAGGCACGAAAGCGUGGGGAUCAAACAGGAUUAGAUACCCUGGUAGUCCACGCAGUAAACGAUGAAUACUAGCUGUAUGCGAUAUACUGUAUGUGGCACAGCGAAAGCGUUAAGUAUUCCACCUGGGGAGUACGUUCGCAAGAAUGAAACUCAAAGGAAUUGACGGGGGCCCGCACAAGCGGAGGAACAUGUGGUUUAAUUCGAUGAUACGCGAGGAACCUUACCCGGGCAUGAAAUGCAUCUGACCGACUUGGAAACAGGUCUUCUAGCAAUAGCAGAUGUGUAGGUGCUGCAUGGUUGUCGUCAGCUCGUGCCGUGAGGUGUCGGCUUAAGUGCCAUAACGAGCGCAACCCCUAUCAUUAGUUACUAACAGGUCAAGCUGAGGACUCUAAUGAGACUGCCACCGUAAGGUGUGAGGAAGGUGGGGAUGACGUCAAAUCAGCACGGCCCUUACGUCCGGGGCGACACACGUGUUACAAUGGGGGGUACAGAGGGUUGCUACUUGGUGACAAGAUGCUAAUCUCUUAAAGCCUCUCUCAGUUCGGAUCGAAGUCUGCAACUCGACUUCGUGAAGCUGGAUUCGCUAGUAAUCGCGCAUCAGCCAUGGCGCGGUGAAUACGUUCCCGGGCCUUGUACACACCGCCCGUCAAGCCAUGGAAGUCUGGGGGGACCCUGAAGUACGUAACCGCAAGGAGCUCCCUAG